UCCUGGUGGCGAGCGGCGGACGGGUGAGUAAUGCAUAGAAAUCUGCCCGGUAGUGGGGGAUAACCUGGGGAAACCCAGGCUAAUACCGCAUACGUCCUACGGGAGAAAGCAGGGGAUCUUCGGACCUUGCGCUAUCGGAUGAGUCUAUGUCGGAUUAGCUUGUUGGUGAGGUAAUGGCUCACCAAGGCGACGAUCCGUAGCUGGUCUGAGAGGAUGAUCAGCCACAUCGGGACUGAGACACGGCCCGAACUCCUACGGGAGGCAGCAGUGGGGAAUAUUGGACAAUGGGCGAAAGCCUGAUCCAGCCAUGCCGCGUGUGUGAAGAAGGCCUUCGGGUUGUAAAGCACUUUCAGUGGGGAAGAAAGCCUUGGGGCUAAUACCCUCGAGGAAGGACAUCACCCACAGAAGAAGCACCGGCUAACUCCGUGCCAGCAGCCGCGGUAAUACGGAGGGUGCGAGCGUUAAUCGGAAUUACUGGGCGUAAAGCGCGCGUAGGCGGUCUGAUAAGCCGGUUGUGAAAGCCCCGGGCUCAACCUGGGAACGGCAUCCGGAACUGUCAGGCUAGAGUGCAGGAGAGGAAGGUAGAAUUCCCGGUGUAGCGGUGAAAUGCGUAGAGAUCGGGAGGAAUACCAGUGGCGAAGGCGGCCUUCUGGACUGACACUGACGCUGAGGUGCGAAAGCGUGGGUAGCAAACAGGAUUAGAUACCCUGGUAGUCCACGCCGUAAACGAUGUCGACUAGCCGUUGGGCUCCUUGAGAGCUUUGUGGCGCAGUUAACGCGAUAAGUCGACCGCCUGGGGA
RNAcentral lists this ribosomal RNA (800 nucleotides) under uncultured bacterium. Its description in RNAcentral is "bacterial SSU rRNA". It matches the Rfam family "Bacterial small subunit ribosomal RNA", at positions 83 to 879 of the family's 1533-position model. The record is from RNAcentral.